GACGAACGCUGGCGGCGUGCUUAACACAUGCAAGUCGAACGGUGAAGCUCCAGCUUGCUGGAGUGGAUCAGUGGCGAACGGGUGAGUAACACGUGAGCAACCUGCCCCUGACUCUGGAAUAAGCGCUGGAAACGGCGUCUAAUACUGGAUACGAGAAGGGUCCGCAUGGGCACUUUCUGGAAAGUUUUUCGGUUGGGGAUGGGCUCGCGGCCUAUCAGCUUGUUGGUGAGGUAAUGGCUCACCAAGGCGACGACGGGUAGCCGGCCUGAGAGGGCGACCGGCCACACUGGGACUGAGACACGGCCCAGACUCCUACGGGAGGCAGCAGUGGGGAAUAUUGCACAAUGGGCGAGAGCCUGAUGCAGCGACGCCGCGUGAGGGAUGACGGCCUUCGGGUUGUAAACCUCUUUCAGCAGGGAAGAAGCGAAAGUGACGGUACCUGCAGAAGAAGCACCGGCUAACUACGUG
This 468-nucleotide ribosomal RNA is filed under the name uncultured bacterium. RNAcentral's name for it is "partial 16S ribosomal RNA". It matches the Rfam family "Bacterial small subunit ribosomal RNA", at positions 28 to 507 of the family's 1533-position model. The record is from RNAcentral.